AGGGUUUCCGCCCUUUAGUGCUGCAGCAAACGCAUUAAGCACUCCGCCUGGGGAGUACGGUCGCAAGACUGAAACUCAAAGGAAUUGACGGGGGCCCGCACAAGCGGUGGAGCAUGUGGUUUAAUUCGAAGCAACGCGAAGAACCUUACCAGGUCUUGACAUCCUCUGACACCCCUAGAGAUAGGGCUUCCCCUUCGGGGGCAGAGUGACAGGUGGUGCAUGGUUGUCGUCAGCUCGUGUCGUGAGAUGUUGGGUUAAGUCCCGCAACGAGCGCAACCCUUGAUCUUAGUUGCCAGCAUUCAGUUGGGCACUCUAAGGUGACUGCCGGUGACAAACCGGAGGAAGGUGGGGAUGACGUCAAAUCAUCAUGCCCCUUAUGACCUGGGCUACACACGUGCUACAAUGG
RNAcentral lists this ribosomal RNA (406 nucleotides) under Bacillus sp. (in: firmicutes). Its description in RNAcentral is "bacterial SSU rRNA". It matches the Rfam family "Bacterial small subunit ribosomal RNA", at positions 827 to 1233 of the family's 1533-position model. The record is from RNAcentral. Lineage: Bacteria; Bacillati; Bacillota; Bacilli; Caryophanales; Bacillaceae.